RNAcentral lists this unclassified non-coding RNA (754 nucleotides) under Polistes dominula (European paper wasp). RNAcentral's name for it is "dopamine N-acetyltransferase-like, transcript variant X2". The record is from RNAcentral. Lineage: Eukaryota; Metazoa; Arthropoda; Insecta; Hymenoptera; Vespidae.
CCUCAUACGAUAGAACCCUCUUUUAGCAAAGGGAGAUGCGCGCGUGAAAAUUCAUUUCAGUGCGCGUUAAAUUUGUCCUCCGCCAAGCCCAAAGAUGUCCGAUAAUUUAAAAAUCGUACAAAUUCCUGAGGAUCGUUACGUCGAAGCUAUCGAUCAUUUGAAAUGGAACUUCUUCGCGGAUGAACCAUUAAAUCAGGCUGUUGGAUUAUGCGAAAAGGGUAAAUCUCAUUACGAACUUGAAAGACAUUGUCUGUUGACUUUAAAUCAGGGAUACUCAAGGAUGCUAGUGACCGAAACUGGAACUAUAGCAGGUAUGACUCUAAAUGGUGUUUUAAAUGAAGAGGAAAGAGACGAAGCUAGUCGACGACUUGAAGAAAUAAACGACAAACAAUUUAAAACAAUUUUCGGUCAACUGUACAAAGUCAACAAAAAAGUUGAUCUAUUUAAAAAAUACAAUGUCCAGGAAUUAUUCGAAUGUCGCAUUUUAAGCGUAGAUGAGAAUUUUCGCGGGAAAGGCUUGGCAAAUAUUUUAAUGUCCGAUAGUCUUGAAGUAGCAAGGAAAGCUGGUUUCAAGCAUGUACUUCACUUAAUAAUAUGCAUGGGAUGAUUUUCAUUUACAAUGGUGUCAAUUACAAAAUGCACUCAUUCUUGUAUUUUUCUGAAAGGUGUUCAAAGCUGAUGCUACUGGUAUGUAUUCUCAAAAGGUUUGUUUAAAGCACGGCUUUCAAGUCGAAGCAGAGAUUCCUUACACAGA